CACUUUUCUAACUUAAUUCGCCACACAAAAAUGGCGGACAAGGUCAUUGAGGGAUAAUUCAGUCAAACGAAAAGGACAAAUGGGAGCAUUGAGGAAUAAUUCAGUCAAACGAGAAGGACAAAUAGAAGCUUGCUAAUGGGGGUAAAAUUCAUAUACAAAAACCAAGAAAACUACGCAGUUUUCAUGCAAAUAAAUACGCAGUUUUCAAGUGCUGUUGAAAAAUAUGCAAGAAAAACAUUGUCUUGGCUUCGCUGUGACGGGCACCAGGCAUGCA
Molecule: non-coding RNA, 274 nt
Organism: Paramuricea clavata
Lineage: Eukaryota; Metazoa; Cnidaria; Anthozoa; Malacalcyonacea; Plexauridae
Source: the annotation of a GenBank genome assembly